This is a small nucleolar RNA of Erinaceus europaeus (western European hedgehog), 134 nucleotides long. Its record names the gene SNORA70. It matches the Rfam family "Small nucleolar RNA SNORA70". Rfam says of the family: snoRNA U70 seems to be exclusive to mammals and is a member of the H/ACA class of snoRNA which contain H (ANANNA) and ACA box motifs. NCBI's taxonomy places the organism in Eukaryota, Metazoa, Chordata, Mammalia, Eulipotyphla, Erinaceidae. The record is from Ensembl.
AAAUAGCUAAUUAAGCCGACCGUGCUGCCCUCCCCAUCGUGCCCAGUGUGCAGUGGCUGCAAAGAGCAGCCUCCUGGGUAGUGUAUGCAGCCUGUUGCUUGUAUAGGCUGCUCUAAGGGACCCUGGAGACGGCC